UUGAAUGGUUAAUUUUUUUUUUUUAUUUUUUUUCUUUUUAGUAUUUUAAUUAAAUAAUUUUUUUUUUUACUGAGAAGGUUUUUAUUUUAUAAUUAAAGAAUUAUUAAUAGUACCUUUUGUAUCAGGGUAAUUUAAUUUAUAAAUUUAUUUUUUUUUCCCGAAAUUUAAUUAUUUAAGUAUAUAUUUUUAUAACUGUUGAAUAAUUUUUACAAAUUUAUAUUUAAUAAUUAAAAGUUAUUUGAAUUUUUAUAUAUCUGGUUAUUAAGGAUUAAGUUUAAUUUUGGAUUUAAGUUUUUAUAAAUUAUAAUUUUUUAAUUCUUAUAUUAAUUUGGAUAAUCUAAUUAAUUUUUUAAAAUUUUAUUAUAAAAAGAUUUUUUUUAAGUUUAAUAUUUUCUAUUUAGUUUGUAAUAUUUUAUUUUUAUUUAAUAAAUUUUUUUCUUAUUUAAAUUUUUACUUAAUUUUUUUAAUUAAUUUUAUUUUAAUAAAAAUAAUGAGUUAAUUAGUAUUUUUUGUACUUUUAGUUUUAUUAAUUAGACAAAUUUAGCUUCCAACUGUUUAUUAAAAACAUUUCUUUAAGAAGUAUAUUUAAAGUAAUUUCUGCCCUAUGAUUUUUAAAUGGCUGCAGUAUAUUGACUGUACAAAGGUAGCAUAAUAAUUUGGUUUUUAAUUGGAAUCUUGUAUGAAAGAAUACAUGAGGGGCUUGUUUUAUUAAUUAAAAUAUUAAAAUUUAAUUUUUUAGUAAAAAAGCUAAAUUUUUUUUCAGGGACGAUAAGACCCUAUAGAAUUUAAAUUUUAAUUAUUUUUAUUAAAUAUUUUUUUUAUUAAAUAUUAUUUAAAAUUUUAGUUGGGGUGAUAAAUAAAUUUAAUCUUUAUUUUUUUUAUUCAUUAUUAUGUUUUGUUGAUCCAUUUUAAUGAUUAAAAGAUAAAAUUACCUUAGGGAUAACAGCGUAAUUUUUAUUAGGAGUUCUUAUCUAUAUAAAUGUUUUCGACCUCGAUGUUGAAUUAAGUUAAUGUUUUGGUGCAAAAGCUAGAAUAAAUAAGUCUGUUCGACUUUUAAAAACUUACAUGAUUUGAGUUUAAACCGGUGUGAGCCAGGUUGGUUUCUAUCUUGAAAUUUUAAUUUUCUUUUAGUACGAAAGGACCAAAGAAUAGUAUUUAAAUAUUAAAUAUUUUUUAA
RNAcentral lists this ribosomal RNA (1177 nucleotides) under Batracomorphus cornutus. RNAcentral's name for it is "16S ribosomal RNA". The stretch from base 939 to 1098 matches the Rfam family "Archaeal large subunit ribosomal RNA", at positions 2542 to 2701 of the family's 2987-position model. The record is from RNAcentral. Lineage: Eukaryota; Metazoa; Arthropoda; Insecta; Hemiptera; Cicadellidae.